This 401-nucleotide small RNA is filed under the name Caenorhabditis elegans. RNAcentral describes it as "Unclassified non-coding RNA C26H9A.5". Lineage: Eukaryota; Metazoa; Nematoda; Chromadorea; Rhabditida; Rhabditidae. The record is from RNAcentral.
GAGAAGAUGAAAUAAUGAUAGACGCUGCGUGUAAAGUAUCACUUCCAUCAACUCUUGUGAAGACCAUUUACUUAUUUUUCGAUCUUCCCGCAGCUGCGACUACAGUUACUGUAACAGAUUUAACAGAGAAUGCAACAGAAACAGAAGACGAAAUGUUGAAGAAUAAUGAGAAGCUUCACGAUAUGAUUGGACAGAUUAUGGAGGGAUUGUGUAGAUUCAAGUUGGUUUUUGUUUGAAAUUAUAUUGACUUUAAAUCGGAAAUUUACAGAUGUGUCAGUGAGGAAUUGGUGAGGAAGGAUGACUUACUGCUACUUUUUGUUGGAACAACGUCUCAAGUUGCCGAAGCGAAUAAUUGUUGGAGAAAACUAUGUGCAAGACUUUUGGAAGUUAUUGCAGAUAAG